RNAcentral lists this transfer RNA (70 nucleotides) under Ictidomys tridecemlineatus (thirteen-lined ground squirrel). RNAcentral describes it as "Spermophilus tridecemlineatus (thirteen-lined ground squirrel) tRNA". It matches the Rfam family "tRNA". Rfam says of the family: Transfer RNA (tRNA) molecules are approximately 80 nucleotides in length. Their secondary structure includes four short double-helical elements and three loops (D, anti-codon, and T loops). Lineage: Eukaryota; Metazoa; Chordata; Mammalia; Rodentia; Sciuridae. The record is from Rfam by way of RNAcentral.
GGGGAUGUGGCUCAAGUGGUAGAGCGCUUGCCUAGCAUGCAUGAGGCACUGGGCUCGAUUCUCAGCACCA